GAUGAACGCUGACAGAAUGCUUAACACAUGCAAGUCUACUUGAAUUUGGGUUUUUAACUUAGAUUUGGGUGGCGGACGGGUGAGUAACGCGUAAAGAACUUGCCUCACAGCUAGGGACAACAUUUAGAAAUGAAUGCUAAUACCUAAUAUUAUGAUAAUAGGGCAUCCUAUAAUUAUGAAAGCUAUAUGCGCUGUGAGAGAGCGUUGCGUCCCAUUAGCUAGUUGGAGAGGUAACGGCUCACCAAGGCGAUGAUGGGUAGCCGGCCUGAGAGGGUGAUCGGCCACAAGGGGACUGAGACACGGCCCUUACUCCUACGGGAGGCAGCAGUGGGGAAUAUUGGACAAUGGACCGAGAGUCUGAUCCAGCAAUUCUGUGUGCACGAUGAAGUUUUUCGGAAUGUAAAGUGCUUUCAGUUGGGAAGAAAGAAAUGACGGUACCAACAGAAGAAGUGACGGCUAAAUACGUGCCAGCAGCCGCGGUAAUACGUAUGUCACGAGCGUUAUCCGGAUUUAUUGGGCGUAAAGCGCGUCUAGGUGGUUAUAUAAGUCUGAUGUGAAAAUGCAGGGCUCAACUCUGUAUUGCGUUGGAAACUGUAUAACUAGAGUACUGGAGAGGUAAGCGGAACUACAAGUGUAGAGGUGAAAUUCGUAGAUAUUUGUAGGAAUGCCGAUGGGGAAGCCAGCUUACUGGACAGAUACUGACGCUGAAGCGCGAAAGCGUGGGUAGCAAACAGG
RNAcentral lists this ribosomal RNA (735 nucleotides) under uncultured Fusobacterium sp. RNAcentral's name for it is "bacterial SSU rRNA". It matches the Rfam family "Bacterial small subunit ribosomal RNA", at positions 28 to 776 of the family's 1533-position model. The record is from RNAcentral. Lineage: Bacteria; Fusobacteriati; Fusobacteriota; Fusobacteriia; Fusobacteriales; Fusobacteriaceae.